Molecule: non-coding RNA, 249 nt
Organism: Paramuricea clavata
Lineage: Eukaryota; Metazoa; Cnidaria; Anthozoa; Malacalcyonacea; Plexauridae
Source: the annotation of a GenBank genome assembly
CAACCUCCAUGGGCGUUGGCUCAAGCAGUUUUAGCAGAAGUGCCAAACCAGGUCUCAGAAUAUUUCCAAAUGAAGAAACUAACGCCUGGCGCAAGACCACCACAAACGUAGAAAUGUUGAAGACUUGUAAGUAAAUAGAUAGUUGUAUAGACAAUUUAUGCAUAACUAUGGACGUAAAGGAAUCCGACGUUGUAUACGUUCAGCCAUUUGGGCAGCUCAAAGGGCACAGUUCAGCCUUUUGAAUGAUGG